RNA transcript from Ziziphus jujuba (common jujube), 3678 nucleotides. It is a transcript of the gene named E3 ubiquitin ligase PARAQUAT TOLERANCE 3, with no coding region annotated. The record is from RefSeq and is a predicted model, not a curated record. The transcript has 16 exons. NCBI's taxonomy places the organism in Eukaryota, Viridiplantae, Streptophyta, Magnoliopsida, Rosales, Rhamnaceae.
CUUAAGCUUCGCGCAUUAGCAUUUAUUCGUCUUCUCUCCGUGUAGUAAAAGAUUGUUCAAAGAAUUUAAACCUUCGCAGCUAAACAUAACGAAAUUCCUCAACUGAUUCUCUCUCUCUCUCUCCCUCUCCCUCUCCUAUCGUUGUUCGUUCGGAGAAUUCAUGACCUGUGAUCUCGUUGACUCGCCGAUUUGACUACGGCAUGGCCGUCCGGUUCAAAUUCAGAAGCUCAUUGAAUUUCGAUACGGUUGACAUCGAAGGCAGGUCCUCCAUAUCCGUUCGUGAUCUCAAAUCCAAGAUCAUCCGCCAAAAGAACCUUAACAUCUGUCAAGACUUCGAUCUCGUAUUCUCUGACUCCCUAACCGGUCAAGAGUAUGUUGACGGGAGCUUCCAAAUUCCAAAUGGGGCUAGUGUGAUAAUCAAAAGAGUGCCGGCAGGGUCAGGGCACGGGAAUAUUGAUACUCCUCACAUUAGUGCUUACGAGAAUCUUGCGGUCAAGGACACCGUGAAGACCAAUCCAUCUGGUGCACCGAAUACUGGUAUCCUUGACUUUGAUGACUUUGGGGUUGAUUUGUAUCCUUAUCCUGGGGCAACAUUAUCUAGUUCUAAUCUUGAUGAUGACAAGAAAACUCACAUUUUGUAUGAUACUCCAAAUAUUGGAGUUGCAAGAUAUUCUAAGCAACCUGUGGAUGGAUGUCAGAAAAUUGAGGCAAGCAACCUUUCUGAGGCUAGUCCUAGAGGUCGUGAUGAGGAACUUAAAUCUAUUUCGUUGCACAGAAAAUUAACUAUGGAUGUUCAGGAGGACAUUCCACUAGAGAAGGUGGACAGUGCUAAUCCAGCUAUGCGAAGUGGGGAUUUGCCAUCAGAGCUAAAAUGUUUGCUUUGCAAGUCAUUUUUUAAGGCAGCCGUGAUGAUACCUUGCUGCCAGCAUAGUUUUUGCGAGAAAUGCAUUUGUGAAGUGCUGCAUGAGAAGGGAAAGUGUCCCAAGUGCUUUUCUACCAAAUGCAGAGUAGAAGAUUUAUUACCAAAUGUUUCUCUUAGACAAGCAAUUGUGCAUUUCCUUGAAUCUCAAAUCUUGACUACUGGUUUUGGCAAUGAUUAUCAGCGUUAUGCUCCAGAUGGAGAAUCUGGAAUUCAAGCAGAAGAUGUUUCAUGUGGUGUGUCUAUUCUCCAAAAACAGCCAGAGUUGCCUCAUUCUCCCUCUGGAACUGGGAAGGGAUCAAAUAAUAUAAUGACAGAUUCAGCUUACAGCUCACCGUUUAAAACAAAACCAUCCAAUCUAGUGGGUGCAAAUAAUUUGCUGAAACUACCUGCUUUUUCUCCCAAGAAAAAGCAAAUAGAUAAAAGUGGAUGUGAGAAUGCGAUGGCUUUGGAUGAGUUCCAAGGGGAAAGCCAGCCCAUGCAUGAGGAAGCUGAAUCUACAAUAAAGAAAAAGGAUCCAGUAGGCUUUAAUACAGCAGGUGGAAUAAAUGGUAUAGUGAAGACUGGAAGAAACAAAAAGGGUCCCCAAACCUGCUUCAUGUGUGGUUCUCCAGACCAUUUCAUUAGAGAAUGCCCAGUUGCAUUAAGCCCACAUUCUAUGCUUCAAGCAGGAAAUGCUAUUUUUCCAGGUGCUAUGCCAGGUUAUAUGCCUUAUUGGAACAGGCCCCCUAUGCCUCAUUUCAGGCCCUUUUGUAACCUUUAUGGCGAUCCUGGAAUGAUGCCUUUUAAUGCAACUAUGGUUCCAGCUUCUCCUUUCCCUGUUCCAAACUAUCACUCAUCUAUGUAUGGCCCUAUUCAAGCCUUUGGCAGAUACAUGAGGAUGGGACCCAUUGCACCUCAACAAGCUGGUGAAGAUCACUGUCUAAGUCAUUCAGAAUUUUUGGAUGUUCAAGAUCAGAUAAAGAGACAAAAGCUUUCAAAUGAGGAUGUGAGGAGGGAACAAUAUAGUGAUGUGGAUAAUGAGAGAGUUUUUGGAAAGAAGCAUUCCUAUAGUGAGAAAGGAAGAUCACAUGAUCAUAAAUCUGUUAUGAGCAGGGAAAAGAAUGUAAGCUACUCUGAUUGCAGCUCCAGCCAGAGGAAACAUAGUCAUCACAGUCAUAAACAUUAUGACAUUGAUGGCGAUGAUGAAUGUCACCAGAAGGCUCAUCAUUCUUCAAUUGGCAGUGGUGACAAGAGGUUAAAUAAUCAAACAGAGAGAUUAAGUUCAGAAGAUGAUGAUAUGCCUUGCAGCACCAGUUGGCAGAGUGAAAAGAGGCAGAAGCACCAUCACAAGAGCUCCGAUAAGGUUAAUAAAAAGAGUGUGCAGUAUGGCGGUGAUUCAAGUCAGGAUCGGUAUCAGACCAAAAAUAAAAAUCAUAGUAAGAGGAGUGUAAUCGAGUGUGACAUGAAAAGACACCAUAGAAAACAUCAUAGCCGUUCAGAGUUGCAAUUGGACCAAAGUUCUUCCAUCAAUCACAGGCAGCGAAAGAAAGAUGCUGGUCCCAUUUCAAGACAUUCCCAACAUGAUUUGAAGUCUAAUAAUGAUGAGCCGAGUCAUGAGAGGUGGCAGAUGAUUAGUGGGUCAGAUGAGGAUGGUACAAAAGAAUGUCGGUAUUAUAAGCGGAAAAGAGGGCACUAACAUAUGCUAGGAGCCUGAUCCUGAGGUAACAAGUGUAAAUGAAAGCCACAUUUCUCUAUUUUGCUGAUUCAGCUGGUUCUCAUACAUCUUAUAUAGAUCUAGUUGGACUGGUCGGCUUUUGGACAUUAGAUAUUUGUUAAUAUCUGCUAACUACCCUUCACUUUUUUAUCAUGAGGUCUCAAGGGUAGCCAAAUGAAAGUUUUAACCAGAGCCGGAAUGCUAAUAUAAUUAUAGGGUUUGGAUAUUAUAUGCCAUGCCUAAAUUUCAUUCUGCUGAGAUUCUUGAAGCUGGUGAAGGUAUGAAUUCUUUUCUUGAGAAAGAGGGAGUGAGAAAGGAGGUGAAAGGACGAGAGUAGUAAUAGGACAAAAAAAAUUAUCACCGUCUCAUUCUCUUAGUUACUUGUACAUUCUUCUCUCAGGGUAAGGUUCAAUAGUUUGCCCGUGCAUGUUCAUAGCUUUUUUGGUCAAGUAUAGAAGAUAAGAGUACUAAAUGAAAAAGUGACGUCUAGAGUUUUUUAGAUGGUUUUGAAGAAAUGAGUUGAUUUAUUUUCCAGAGAAGCCUGUUUUAGGUAAUUUCUUGCACUUACUUGAUGUUGAUAGAGCGCUUCGUCAAUAUUAUGCCGUCCAAUUUCUAGGUACGGUUUUGGUGGUUGUAGUUCAUGCUUUUGUUAUGGAAGUAUUUUUGUAGGGUUCUAGGUGUAUUUGAUUUAUUUGCUGCUAGGCACCUGAUUAUGGUUCCAGGCUGUGGUAGUAUUUACCACUUAUUUUUGGUAUUGGUAAGAAUAUGUUUUUAGAUUAUAUAUAUAUAUAUAUAUAUAUGUAUAUAUAUCUUUAGAAUUUUAGAUCGAGUAACAUUUUAGAUAAAUAAAUAUAAUUAAGAUUUUCGAAGGGUUCAUCCGUUGCUGUGAAGUACCAGAUUCACAUCUUGGAUUUCCCAAGUUUAAAGUCUACCAGUGCACUAUUUCCGGGAAAGAAAAAUAAAAAAGUAGACCAGUGCACUAAUUAAGUUUGCAUAUGGAAUAUUAGAACUUUCAAUACCCUCAGCUUGCAUAUUUAUAUAUAUAUAUAUAUAUAUAUGUAUA